Molecule: transfer RNA, 77 nt
Filed under: Actinomycetota bacterium
Lineage: Bacteria; Bacillati; Actinomycetota
Description: Actinobacteria bacterium tRNA-Thr
Rfam family: tRNA
About the family: Transfer RNA (tRNA) molecules are approximately 80 nucleotides in length. Their secondary structure includes four short double-helical elements and three loops (D, anti-codon, and T loops). Further hydrogen bonds mediate the characteristic L-shaped molecular structure. tRNAs have two regions of fundamental functional importance: the anti-codon, which is responsible for specific mRNA codon recognition, and the 3' end, to which the tRNAs corresponding amino acid is attached (by aminoacyl-tRNA synthetases). tRNAs cope with the degeneracy of the genetic code in two manners: having more than one tRNA (with a specific anti-codon) for a particular amino acid; and 'wobble' base-pairing, i.e. permitting non-standard base-pairing at the 3rd anti-codon position.
Source: RNAcentral
GCCGAGUGUUAGCUCAGUGGCAGAGCAACCGCCUUGUAAGCGGUAGGUCGUGGGUUCAAAUCCCACACUCGGCUCCA